CCCUGAUGGACAUUCUGGACACAGAUGGGGACAAGUGGUUCGAUGAACUGGAUUCUGGGCUCCAAGGUCAAAACGCUGAGUUUCAAAUUCUGGAUAAUGUAGACUCAAAGGGAGAGUUGAUAGUGACAUUACUCAAAGAAAUAACAAUUUCAGGCAGCUUCCAGGGCUUCCACCAUCAGAAUAUCAAGAUAUCUGAGAACCGGAUAUCCCAGCAGUAUCUGGCUACCCUUGAAAACAGGAAGCUGAAGAGGGAACUACCCUUUUCAUUCCGAUCAAUUAAUACGAGAGAAAACCUGUAUCUGGUGACAGAAACUCUGGAGACGGUAAAGGAGGAAACCCUGAAAAGCAACCGGCAAUAUAAAUUUUGGAGCCAGAUCUCUCAGGGCCGUCUCAGCUAUAAACACAAGGUUAGGAUCCUGGGAGGCAGGGACUGUGGAGGCCAGUGUUGGCCCAUGCCCCGCAGGUCAAGGCGAUGCCAGCCUUAGACUCUUCCUUCACUCUGAGCAGCCCUGCUGCUCUUGGCCACCUUGCCCCAAGAAAGGGUGGGUGGCAUUGCCCAGUCCUUCCCUUGUUACUCUCUAGCGAUGCCCUCUUUUCAUUUGCAUUUUCUUUCUUUCUUUUUUAAAUAGAGAUGAGGUCUUGCUGUGUUGUCCAGGCUGGUCUCAAACUCCUGGGCUCAAGCAAUCCACCCACCUCGGCCACCCAA
This 706-nucleotide small RNA is filed under the name Pongo abelii (Sumatran orangutan). RNAcentral's name for it is "retained intron". Lineage: Eukaryota; Metazoa; Chordata; Mammalia; Primates; Hominidae. The record is from RNAcentral.